Molecule: long non-coding RNA, 412 nt
Organism: Sceloporus undulatus (fence lizard)
Lineage: Eukaryota; Metazoa; Chordata; Lepidosauria; Squamata; Phrynosomatidae
Exons: 5
Source: RefSeq, a predicted model, not a curated record
GGAAUAGUCUGGAAUGCAAAGAGAUACUAGCUAGGCUGAUCCUGUUCUCUUCCAAGGCCACUGCAGAGCCAGAGCAUUGUAUUCAGAGCUCUCUAGAGAAAGGAGGGGGUGAGAAGCAAUCGGGAGCCAUCUGUGCUGCAGAAGAUCAAAGAAUUGUGGCACUGUUAACGAAGAAGCCAAUUAUUGGAAGGAAAGUUACAUUCAUUUGUAUCACCAGUCUAUACUGUUGAAAACGAGCCAGGAGCAGUAUAUACAGAUGGCUCAAGAACUUCUUGCGUCCCAAAUAGAAGGAUUGAAAACGGCCUACAUCUUCCAGCCCCACCAUCACCCUUAAAUAACUGGCUCUGCCAAUACAGAUUAACAGUUACAUCCAGGGAACAAAUGAAAAGAGAUGAUUCCAGCAAGAAAGACU